CGGGGUGCAGCAGGCGCGAAAACUUUACAAUGCCGGCAACGGCGAUAAGGGAACCUCGAGUGCCAGGUUACAAAUCUGGCUGUUGUGAUGCCUAAAAAGCAUUGCAUAGCAAGGGCCGGGCAAGACCGGUGCCAGCCGCCGCGGUAACACCGGCGGCUCGAGUGGUAACCGUUAUUAUUGGGUCUAAAGGGUCUGUAGCCGGCCGGGUAAGUCUCUUGGGAAAUCUGGCAGCUUAACUGUCAGGCUUUCAGGAGAUACUGCCUGGCUCGAGGCCGGGAGAGGUGAGAGGUACUUCAGGGGUAGGGGUGAAAUCUUGUAAUCCUUGAAGGACCACCAGUGGCGAAGGCGUCUCACCAGAACGGACCUGACGGCAAGGGACGAAAGCUAGGGGCACGAACCGGAUUAGAUACCCGGGUAGUCCUAGCCGUAAACGAUACUCGCUAGGUGUCGGCCACGGUGCGACCGUGGUCGGUGCCGUAGGGAAGCCGUGAAGCGAGCCACCUGGGAAGUACGGCUGCAAGGCUGAAACUUAAAGGAAUUGGGCGGGGGAGCAC
Molecule: ribosomal RNA, 554 nt
Filed under: uncultured archaeon
Lineage: Archaea
Description: bacterial SSU rRNA
Rfam family: Archaeal small subunit ribosomal RNA
Source: RNAcentral